UCGGGUUCUGCCCUGACGACGGCGGCAGAACGGCGUCUAGCCGUCUUCCAUUGCGUCUGCUGCCGCAGUUUCCGAUCUCGCCGCCGCCAGCUGCGGCACGCCGGCGCUGCGGCAGGAAGUGUCACCACGAGAUUUUGGCUAGUUUGCCAUCCGGAAAUCGUUGAUCAGCCGCAAAUCCGGUUCCUUCCCCGCUCCACCGGCGACUUGAAGCCGAUGGUUAGGGAUGCAGAGGGGAUGGAUCAUGGAUGGGGCAGCACAACUCUUGGCGGCUUGGCGCCCAGCCGCGGCCCGCCUGUCAUCGAUGGAGGCACGUGCGGAGUGGUUGCUGCUUUCUUCGUAGCUGGUUCAUCAGCGGGGAGCCGGAGACCGCCAAGGAACCAAAAAUGAACUUACCAGACGGCAGCUGCCACGUCAAGAGGAAGCCAUUGCUGAUGAGUUGCUCAUAGUCGCUUGCGCUCACCUUGCCGAAUGUCCCCAGCACUGGCACAAGAGUAGUGCUACAACCCUCAACUGAGUACUGCGUGUAGUUGCUCGAGUCAUUGUAAUGCCCUCCAACUGCAACGCGAACUAACAAGUUGCUGCUGCAUUUCGUCCCCACAAGCCCCCUAUCCGCCUCUGGUGUCUUGGUGCAGUUGUAGAAGAUAAGGUUCAGAUUGACAGGGCUGAUCGAGAAUGGAAGGCUGACUUUGGAGGAGGUGUUAGCAGUCAGAACAUGGCAGCCCUUUGAGUCGGAUGUGCUGAAAUCUGCAACCUUGUGGAUAUCGGCGACAAGCAAGGAGCUGUUGUCAUAGAAGAUGUCGAGAAUCCGGAACCGGUACUUACGCCGGUAGUACCCGAGGUAUGGGACGCUGUUGUUGCAAUGGACCUGGAAGCCCAGUCGGCCGCAUUUUGUAUCAGUUGCCUGCUCCGGGACGAAUCCGAAUGGGUCCGCGAUAGUCAGGUUGCCGCAUGUCUUGGGCGAGCAGUUAGCCCCUUGAUCAACUGGUUCAAUGGCUGCUGCUAUCUGUGAAAGAGUCAUGCACAGCAAGAGCAAGCUGAUGGAGGACAUUGGAGCAGAGGUGAUAAAAGCGUGGAGAUAAGAGUUCGGAGAUGCACACAAGGAGGUAGGAAUGGGGGUGGAUAUGAAGUACUUGUUGGCUGGCCGAUCAUUGAGCAGUGGAGUGCCCGAAGGGCAAGUCUUGACCAUGAAGUUUUUUUUUGAAAUGUUGACCAUGGAGUUGAUACGACUGAAGUCUGAACCACAACCACCACACAGUGACUGAUCGAGUAUGCUUUUGAUCACAACGCCAUGGUCGUAUUGGCUAGCUUAAUCCAGUCACCGU
This is a long non-coding RNA of Panicum virgatum (switchgrass), 1322 nucleotides long. RefSeq lists it as uncharacterized. The transcript is spliced from 2 exons. Lineage: Eukaryota; Viridiplantae; Streptophyta; Magnoliopsida; Poales; Poaceae. The record is from RefSeq and is a predicted model, not a curated record.